GAUGAACGCUGGCGGCGCGCCUAACACAUGCAAGUCGAACGGUUAAAGCACCUUUUAGGUGUGUAUAAAGUGGCGAACGGCUGAGUAACACGUGGGCAACCUGCCCUCCUCUUGGGGAUAGCCUCGGGAAACCGAGGAUAAUACCCGAUACUUCAAUGUGGCCGCAUGACGACAUUGAGAAAGCUUUUGCGGAGAAGGAUGGGCCCGCGGCCUGUUAGCUUGUUGGUGGGGUAGAGGCCUACCAAGGCAAUGAUGGGUAGCUGGGUUGAGAGACCGACCAGCCAGAUUGGGACUGAGACACGGCCCAGACUCCUACGGGAGGCGGCAGUGGGGAAUCUUGCACAAUGGGCGAAAGCCUGAUGCAGCGACGCCGCGUGCGGGACGAAGGCCUUCGGGUUGUAAACCGCUUUCAGCAGGGACGAGGCGAUAAGUGACGGUACCUGCAGAAGAAGCCCCGGCUAACUACGUG
RNAcentral lists this ribosomal RNA (469 nucleotides) under uncultured bacterium. RNAcentral describes it as "partial 16S ribosomal RNA". It matches the Rfam family "Bacterial small subunit ribosomal RNA", at positions 28 to 507 of the family's 1533-position model. The record is from RNAcentral.